This 1343-nucleotide long non-coding RNA is filed under the name Musa acuminata (dwarf banana). RNAcentral's name for it is "long non-coding RNA (MACU_LNC000024)". Lineage: Eukaryota; Viridiplantae; Streptophyta; Magnoliopsida; Zingiberales; Musaceae. The record is from RNAcentral.
GCCACCAUUACCACAUGGAUGAAAAAUGUCAAUUAGAUUAAUGUUAAUACUUGUACUAAAGGAUCAAGCCACCAAUCAUAACUUUUUCCACAUGAAUACACCAAAGUGAUUGGCCUUACUUCUUUACCUAUAUAAACAAAAAUCAGGUAUGAGUUCUUGAAAAAGGUACAUUCAAUCAGCAUUAACAUGACCCAAUAGGAUAGCAUCUUAAUUUGUUAUGUUGAUUAAAUUGUUAUCUAGGAAGCUAUAUUACAAUGAGGAGAGCAACAAAAUAAAUUUCUGGAUGACAUAAAAGUUAACCCACAGUAUUCUCAAUUCUGGAAUGGCAUCCACAUGACCCAGUCUCCAAGUAGUAGAAGUGUGGAGCUACUUCAGACAGCCCUCCAUUUGUAAAGUCAGUUCGAGAUGGAAAAAAAUGGAUUAUGUCGGGGAGAAAGCUUUUCAUACAAAAUCAUCACCUUGAUUAAAUUGGUUUAGAUAUUCUAAAAAAGAAGAUUUACAGCACUGAUAAGCAAUAGGGUCAGACAUGUUUCUAGGGCUUUCAUACUGUAAGGAAAGAGCCAGUGCAAUCCACUAGAAUUACGAAGAAUCACAAGUUCAUGGUCGACGACAUAGUAGAGACACAGAAAGGAUAGUGACAGAAAUAAAUUCUUCUCAUUUACUUUGAGAACUUUAAAGACCUAAUUAGAACACCGAAAGGGAGGAGACAGAAAAGAAGGUGAUUAGAGAAAACACUCUUCAUGUCUGUCCUCAUACAUUCAUGAAAAUAAAUAUCAAGCAGAAUUAAAAAGGGAUUAUGAUGAUAUCCCGUUUCUUAUCAUUCAGUCAGAAAAUAUUUACAAGCUGAUAUGCAUGUAAAAUAACAAAGAGAAAUCAUCAAAUGGUAAUAAAGCAAAAUACAAGAAAGAAAAAAGAGAAGUUUCAUUGAAUGCACAUAGUGCACAUGUCCAGGCUCCGGGACAAAAAGCAAAUGAUCUGAAAGGAAAAAUGUGGCAUAAUAUAGGAAAGUUAGUCUAAUUCGUAAAAUCAUAAAAUACUACUAAAAUGUGGAUCAUACAUUCUACCAGAUGAACUACAAUAAUAAGUUAAACAGAAGUAAGCACAUUUAGCAAAAGAUUCUUGUAAGAACAAAAUCAAAUUCCAUCCAUGCAUUGGUAAUCUCAUUUUUCAUAUUCAACAAAAUGAGACAAAGAAGUUACCACAACAAACAAUAAAAUUUGAGAAUUUUUUGCUUCCCAUUAUACUAUUGAAUACACGAAACUUAUCAAAUUGAGCACAUGGGCUACAACUGUGUUACUUUUAAAUGUCACCUAGAAGAACAGGGUGCAAAUAUCAUAUUAACU